Molecule: ribosomal RNA, 442 nt
Filed under: uncultured bacterium
Lineage: Bacteria
Description: bacterial SSU rRNA
Rfam family: Bacterial small subunit ribosomal RNA
Source: RNAcentral
AGAGUUUGAUCCUGGCUCAGAAUCAACGCUGGCGGCGUGCCUAACACAUGCAAGUCGCACGAGAAAGGGGCUUCGGCUCUGAGUAAAGUGGCGCACGGGUGAGUAACACGUGACUAACCUACCUUCGAAUGGGGAAUAACUGAGAGAAAUCUUAGCUAAUACCGCAUAAUACCUACGGGUCAAAGCAGCAAUGCGUUUGAAGAGGGGGUCGCGGUCGAUUAGUUAGUUGGCGGGGUAAUGGCCCACCAAGACGAUGAUCGAUAUCCGGCCUGAGAGGGCGCACGGACACACUGGAACUGAAACACGGUCCAGACUCCUACGGGAGGCAGCAGUGGGGAAUUUUGCGCAAUGGGGGAAACCCUGACGCAGCAACGCCGCGUGGAGGAUGAAGUAUCUUGGUACGUAAACUCCUUUCGAUGGGGAAGAUUAUGACGGUACCCAU